UCUCUCUCUCUCCAUCCAUCCAUCCUCUCCUUUAGCUGUCCAUCCAUCCAUCCCUCUCCAUCCUCUCCUUUAGCUUUAGUUCUCUUCUUGGGCUAAAUCAAAUUUGGUACCAAAGCUAGAGGAUCCUGCUACUUUUUUCCUUUCUUUUGUUGGAUCUUCUUUCUACUCCCUCCGUUGUUACUUCCUUUGUUAUCAUGUUAUUAAACAGCAACUUUCAACAUCGACAUUCUUCAUCAACAUGUCAAAUAUAAGGAGAAAAUCUUUGGGCAUCCAGACACAAAAUUGACAUCUAUCAAUAAUUAUGUGACAUCAAUACGUACUACACUACAAGCAAUUGCAGCAGCCUAGACAUUGAAAAGCUCUCUAAGGCUGGAAUCAUAAAGAUAAGGAAGCUAAAGAAUCAUUGCAUGAAGAUCCUAGAAUCGAAGCUUUUCCAUAUGAAGAGCAUAUAAUAAAAUUCCAUCAUGCAAGGAUGUUGCAAUUGCAGAUUGUCAAUCCGGAAACUGGCAAUCGAGGAUCCAUAUAAUAUCCUAAUUGAAGAAGAUAAAAAUUAUGAAGAUUCACACGAGGAAAGCACAUCCCCAAAUCAUAUUAUUGCCAUGAAGUUAGUAAUUGCAGCCGAUCAUUAUCUUGAGAAUUUAUUCGAGCUGGACUUGAAUAAUCCUGUUGUUUGCUUCAAUUGUGGUCAAUCAAAUGGUGCAUGAUUAUAGAAGGAGAGAUAACACAUCAUCUAUCAAAUUUUUUUCGAUUGUGAGGGAGUCUGGCAUUGGUCUUAAACAACAAAUAUUGAAGAUCCAGUGAUAGAGUAUUAUGAUAGAAGUCAUCAAGAAAAAAUCAGGGAUGUGAUCCAUAUAGUGGAAGUGAAUGACUGACAGGGU
Molecule: long non-coding RNA, 878 nt
Filed under: Elaeis guineensis (African oil palm)
Lineage: Eukaryota; Viridiplantae; Streptophyta; Magnoliopsida; Arecales; Arecaceae
Description: long non-coding RNA (EGUI_LNC028214)
Source: RNAcentral